GGAGAGGUGGCAGAGUGGUCGAAUGCACCGCACUCGAAAUGCGGCAUACCUGCAAGGGUAUCCCCACCCUCUCCGCCA
This 78-nucleotide transfer RNA is filed under the name Rhizobium sp. Root651. RNAcentral's name for it is "tRNA-Ser". It matches the Rfam family "tRNA". Rfam says of the family: Transfer RNA (tRNA) molecules are approximately 80 nucleotides in length. Their secondary structure includes four short double-helical elements and three loops (D, anti-codon, and T loops). Further hydrogen bonds mediate the characteristic L-shaped molecular structure. tRNAs have two regions of fundamental functional importance: the anti-codon, which is responsible for specific mRNA codon recognition, and the 3' end, to which the tRNAs corresponding amino acid is attached (by aminoacyl-tRNA synthetases). tRNAs cope with the degeneracy of the genetic code in two manners: having more than one tRNA (with a specific anti-codon) for a particular amino acid; and 'wobble' base-pairing, i.e. permitting non-standard base-pairing at the 3rd anti-codon position. Lineage: Bacteria; Pseudomonadati; Pseudomonadota; Alphaproteobacteria; Hyphomicrobiales; Rhizobiaceae. The record is from RNAcentral.